GACGGAGGAUGCAAGUGUUAUCCGGAAUCACUGGGCGUAAAGCGUCUGUAGGUGGUUUAAUAAGUCAACUGUUAAAUCUUGAGGCUCAACCUCAAAAAUCGCAGUCGAAACUAUUAGGCUAGAGUAUAGUAGGGGUAAAGGGAAUUUCCAGUGGAGCGGUGAAGUGCGUAGAGAUUGGAAAGAACACCGAUGGCGAAGGCACUUUACUGGGCUAUUACUAACACUCAGAGACGAAAGCUAGGGUAGCAAAUGGG
This 254-nucleotide ribosomal RNA is filed under the name uncultured bacterium. RNAcentral describes it as "partial 16S ribosomal RNA". It matches the Rfam family "Bacterial small subunit ribosomal RNA", at positions 524 to 776 of the family's 1533-position model. The record is from RNAcentral.